UACGAAGGGUGCAAGCGUUACUCGGAAUUACUGGGCGUAAAGCGUGCGUAGGUGGUCUGUUAAGUCUGAUGUGAAAGUCCGGGGCUCAACCCCGGGAGGCGGGCGGAUACUGUCGGGCUAGAGUCCGGAAGAGGCGAGUGGAAUUCCUGGUGUAGCGGUGAAAUGCGCAGAUAUCAGGAGGAACACCAAUGGCGAAGGCAGCUCGCUGGGACGGUACUGACGCUGAGGCGCGAAAGCGUGGGGAGCAAACAGG
This 253-nucleotide ribosomal RNA is filed under the name uncultured bacterium. Its description in RNAcentral is "partial 16S ribosomal RNA". It matches the Rfam family "Bacterial small subunit ribosomal RNA", at positions 524 to 776 of the family's 1533-position model. The record is from RNAcentral.